RNAcentral lists this ribosomal RNA (403 nucleotides) under uncultured bacterium. Its description in RNAcentral is "partial 16S ribosomal RNA". It matches the Rfam family "Bacterial small subunit ribosomal RNA", at positions 30 to 526 of the family's 1533-position model. The record is from RNAcentral.
AUUGAACGCUGGCGGCAGGCCUAAAACAUGCAAGUCGAACGAGCGGCGGACGGGUGAGUAAUGUAUGGGGACUGCCCGAUAGAGGGGGAUAACUAAUGGAAACGGUGGCUAAUACCGCAUACUAUCGGAUAACCCAUAUGGGAGUAGCUAGUAGGUAUGGUAAUGGCUUACCUAGGCGACGAUCCCUAGCUGGUCUGAGAGGAUGAUCAGCCACACUGGGACUGAGGCACGGCCCGGACUCCUACGGAGUCAGCAGUGGGGAAUAUUGCACAAUGGGCGCAAGCCUGAUGCAGCCAUGCAGCGUGUAUGAAGAAGGCCCUAGGGUUGUAAAGUACUUUCAGUCGGGAGGCGUUACCGACAGAAGAAGCACCGGCUAACUCCGUGCCAGCAGCCGCGGUAAUUC